Long non-coding RNA from Daphnia magna, 1021 nucleotides. RefSeq lists it as uncharacterized. The transcript is spliced from 3 exons. The record is from RefSeq and is a predicted model, not a curated record. Lineage: Eukaryota; Metazoa; Arthropoda; Branchiopoda; Diplostraca; Daphniidae.
GGCUGAACUUCUACAGGGUGAGCCAUCUCCUUAUCUCUGGUUCAUCACAAGUGAAAUGUGAAAGUGAAACUGCGAAGUACGGAGCACAUAAAUAAAAUAUUCUCUAGUUUUUCGUUUGAAUCAAAUUUACAGUUGAAAAUGCCAAAUGCCAAAAGUGGUCUCAAGAAGUAUUGUUGUUUCAGACACAAAAGAUCAAGAAGGAAAACCUCUCCAAUCCUAUUACUGUUUGUUUGAUUCCCUGUUAGAUAAAUUGCCACUGAGAAAAAGGAAUGGCUCUUGUGUCAUUAUUGGUUCCAAUUUCCAAACAGGUGAACAAAACAAACUGUGGUCCUGAUGAGAUGGUUUACAUUAGAUGUGAAGAAGUCAUUGAAAACAGCAUAAAUGAUUUUGUAGCAAGUGUGGCCGUCAACUAUACCACAAGCAAAACCCAAACAGCAAUAUAACUUAUUAUAAUUGCUGCUUCAGAGAGUCAGGUGAAGGAAGUUAAGAAACGUGUUGAAUGCAUCAUGUGUAGCUGUAAGGUGCUGAAAAACAACCACAGAAGACACUCGUAACAAAACAGAACAAGGAUAUGGUAUUUAAGAUAGUAGGUUAAGUUAACUUAUUAGUUGAUUGAUUGAUAUGAUUAUGAUUAUUUGUUCAGGGUAAAUUCUCUUCUGCCACUGUGUCUUCUAUCGAAGAUGAAGACAAAAUCGAUGAGCGAGAAGUGUCCGAGCCGUAAGCUAAUAACGUGCGAUUUAUUGAGAAACAAAAAUUUUGCAAGGAAAGGAGUUUUGAAACGCAAGACGGACAUUCCUGAAGUUGAAACACCAAAAAACUUGUUCGAGGAACGUUAAUCUAUAAGUGCAAUUUGCUGUUUUAAGUAUGUGACCAAUAUUUCCUUCAUUUUCGAAUUUUUUGUUCUAAUUUUGUAAUAAAUGCCUUUUAGAAACACCGCAAGUUAAAAACACAGCUCACUUUUGAGGUUAUAUGUAAAAAUGCAAAUAAGUUUCUUAAUUUUCAAUACAGUGAAUUUGUCUGA